GCUCAGGAUGAACGCUGGCGGCGUGCUUAACACAUGCAAGUCGAGCGGGGUUAUACCAAGUGGAGGCCUUCGGGCCGAAACUAGUAAAACCUAGCGGCAGACGGGUGAGUAACGCGUGGGUAAUCUGCCUAUGACAUAGGGACAACAGCUCGAAAGGGCUGCUAAUACCUAAUAAACUUCCGGUGCCGCAUGGUACAGGAGGAAAAGGUCCGCCGGUCAUAGAUGAGCCCGCGUCUGAUUAGCUAGUUGGUAAGGUAAAGGCUUACCAAGGCAUCGAUCAGUAGCCGACCUGAGAGGGUGAUCGGCCACAUUGGGACUGAGACACGGCCCAAACUCCUACGGGAGGCAGCAGUGGGGAAUAUUGCACAAUGGACGGAAGUCUGAUGCAGCAACGCCGCGUGAGGGAAGAAGGUUUUCGGAUCGUAAACCUCUAUCGACUGGGAAGAUGAUGACGGUACCAGAGUAAGAAGCCCCGGCUAACUACGUGCCAGCAGCCGCGGUAAUACGUAGGGGGCAAGCGUUAUCCGGAAUUACUGGGUGUAAAGGGUGAGUAGCCGGUUGCGUAAGUCACAUGUGAAAUCCCGAGGCUCAACCUCGGGACUGCAUGAGAAACUGUGCAACUAGAGUACAGGAGAGGUAA
This 640-nucleotide ribosomal RNA is filed under the name uncultured Bacillota bacterium. RNAcentral describes it as "bacterial SSU rRNA". It matches the Rfam family "Bacterial small subunit ribosomal RNA", at positions 22 to 660 of the family's 1533-position model. The record is from RNAcentral. Lineage: Bacteria; Bacillati; Bacillota.